Molecule: ribosomal RNA, 864 nt
Filed under: uncultured Isoptericola sp.
Lineage: Bacteria; Bacillati; Actinomycetota; Actinomycetes; Micrococcales; Promicromonosporaceae
Description: bacterial SSU rRNA
Rfam family: Bacterial small subunit ribosomal RNA
Source: RNAcentral
GUGCUUAACACAUGCAAGUCGAACGGUGAAGCCCAGCUUGCUGGGUGGAUCAGUGGCGAACGGGUGAGUAACACGUGAGCAACCUGCCCUCCACUUCGGGAUAAGCCUUGGAAACGGGGUCUAAUACCGGAUAUGAGCAUCUGCCGCAUGGUGGGUGUUGGAAAGUUUUUCGGUGGGGGAUGGGCUCGCGGCCUAUCAGCUUGUUGGUGGGGUGAUGGCCUACCAAGGCGUCAACGGGUAGCCGGCCUGAGAGGGCGACCGGCCACACUGGGACUGAGACACGGCCCAGACUCCUACGGGAGGCAGCAGUGGGGAAUAUUGCACAAUGGGCGAAAGCCUGAUGCAGCGACGCCGCGUGAGGGAUGACGGCCUUCGGGUUGUAAACCUCUUUCAGCAGGGAAGAAGGCCUUCGGGUGGACGGUACCUGCAGAAGAAGCGCCGGCUAACUACGUGCCAGCAGCCGCGGUAAUACGUAGGGCGCAAGCGUUGUCCGGAAUUAUUGGGCGUAAAGAGCUCGUAGGCGGUCUGUCGCGUCUGGUGUGAAAUCCCGAGGCUCAACCUCGGGCUUGCAUCGGGUACGGGCAGACUAGAGUACUGUAGGGGAGACUGGAAUUCCUGGUGUAGCGGUGGAAUGCGCAGAUAUCAGGAGGAACACCGAUGGCGAAGGCAGGUCUCUGGGCAGUUACUGACGCUGAGGAGCGAAAGCAUGGGGAGCGAACAGGAUUAGAUACCCUGGUAGUCCAUGCCGUAAACGUUGGGCACUAGGUGUGGGGCUCAUUCCACGAGUUCCGUGCCGCAGCUAACGCAUUAAGUGCCCCGCCUGGGGAGUACGGCCGCAAGGCUAAAACUCAAAUGAAUUGACGG